This 239-nucleotide ribosomal RNA is filed under the name uncultured bacterium. RNAcentral describes it as "partial 16S ribosomal RNA". It matches the Rfam family "Bacterial small subunit ribosomal RNA", at positions 96 to 334 of the family's 1533-position model. The record is from RNAcentral.
CGGCGGACGGGUGAGUAACGCGUGGGUAACCUACCCUGUACACACGGAUAACAUACCGAAAGGUAAUGCUAAUACGGGAUAAUAUAUUUGAGAGGCAUCUCUUGAAUAUCAAAGGUGAGCCAGUACAGGAUGGACCCGCGUCUGAUUAGCUAGUUGGUAAGGUAACGGCUUACCAAGGCGACGAUCAGUAGCCGACCUGAGAGGGUGAUCGGCCACAUUGGAACUGAGACACGGCCCAA